This 376-nucleotide ribosomal RNA is filed under the name uncultured eukaryote. RNAcentral describes it as "bacterial SSU rRNA". It matches the Rfam family "Eukaryotic small subunit ribosomal RNA", at positions 592 to 1018 of the family's 1831-position model. The record is from RNAcentral.
CAAUAGCGUAUAUUAAAGUUGUUGCGGUUAAAAGCUCGUAGUCGAAGUUUAAACAGAAUUUCAAUUUUUACUUAGUGAAUAUUGAUAAUUUUGUUACCAAAUUUUGGUGUCUGUUACUUUGAAGAAAUCAGAGUGUUUCAAGCAAGCUAUUGUUUUGAAUACUAAAGCAUGGAAUAAUGAAAGAAGGCAAGGAUAUUUUUCAUUGGUUUAAAUAUUUUUGUAAUGAUUAAUGGAAACAGACAGGGGCAUUCGUAUUUAACUGUCAGAGGUGGAAUUCUUGGAUUUGUUAAAGACGUACAACUGCGAAAGCAUUUGCCAGGUAUGUGUUCAUUGAUCAAGAACGAAAGUUAGGGGAUCGAAGAUGAUUAGAUACCGU